GCCGGGCGUGGUGACGCGCGCCUGUAAUCCCAGCUACUUGGGAGGCUGAGGCAGGAGAAUUGCUUGAACCCUGGAGGCAGAGGUUGCAGUGAGCCAGGAUUACGCCACUGCACUCCAGCCUGGUUGACAGAGUGAGACUCUGUCUCCA
This 148-nucleotide non-coding RNA is filed under the name Pan troglodytes (chimpanzee). Lineage: Eukaryota; Metazoa; Chordata; Mammalia; Primates; Hominidae. The record is from Rfam by way of RNAcentral.